UUUAACUUUAAAUUUUUUGGCCCUCAAACCCGAAACCAAAUAAUCAGGCAAUCCAUUACACAAACCACACAAAAUUACAGUAAAAUAAGUAUCAUUCAACAAACAAAAGAUCAAAAGAUGCAAUCACUUAUAUUCGUCCAUGCAUAGCAAAAAUUUGGGUCAAUAUGUACAUCUACAUGAUUUACGGCUUUCAGAAAGUGAAAUUGCU
RNAcentral lists this long non-coding RNA (208 nucleotides) under Panax ginseng (ginseng). Its description in RNAcentral is "long non-coding RNA (PGIN_LNC008844)". Lineage: Eukaryota; Viridiplantae; Streptophyta; Magnoliopsida; Apiales; Araliaceae. The record is from RNAcentral.